RNAcentral lists this transfer RNA (50 nucleotides) under Heterocephalus glaber (naked mole-rat). It matches the Rfam family "tRNA", at positions 1 to 49 of the family's 71-position model. From Rfam's summary of the family: Transfer RNA (tRNA) molecules are approximately 80 nucleotides in length. Their secondary structure includes four short double-helical elements and three loops (D, anti-codon, and T loops). Lineage: Eukaryota; Metazoa; Chordata; Mammalia; Rodentia; Bathyergidae. The record is from Rfam by way of RNAcentral.
GGGGAUGUAGCUCAAUGGUAGAGCACUUGCCUAGCAUGCAAACAACCCUA